RNAcentral lists this ribosomal RNA (376 nucleotides) under uncultured bacterium. RNAcentral describes it as "bacterial SSU rRNA". It matches the Rfam family "Bacterial small subunit ribosomal RNA", at positions 521 to 896 of the family's 1533-position model. The record is from RNAcentral.
UAAGACGGAGGGUGCAAGCGUUGUUCGGAAUUACUGGGCGUAAAGGGCGCGUAGGCGGCCCGCUAAGUUCGGCGUGAAAGCCCCCGGCUCAACUGGGGAACGGCGCUGGAUACUGGCGGACUCGAGUACCGGAGAGGAGGGUGGAAUUCCUGGUGUAGCGGUGAAAUGCGUAGAUAUCAGGAGGAACACCGGUGGCGAAGGCGGCCCUCUGGACGGAUACUGACGCUGAGGCGCGAAAGCGUGGGGAUCAAACAGGAUUAGAUACCCUGGUAGUCCACGCUGUAAACGAUGGGGACUAGGUGUGGGGGGUAUUGACCCUCCCGUGCCGCCGCUAACGCAUUAAGUCCCCCGCCUGGGGAUUACGGCCGCAAGGUUA